AUACUUACCUGGCAGGGGAGACACCAUGAUCAUGAAGGUGGUUCUCCCAGGGCGAGGCACGGCUAUUGCACACUCUAGGCUGUGCUGAUCGUGGUUGUCUUCCCUGCCGCUGUUGGCUAGGACCGGAGGAAUUUUUUUAUUCCUGGCCGGAGGGCCUGGU
Rana temporaria (common frog) is the source of this 160-nucleotide small nuclear RNA. RefSeq annotates it as U1 spliceosomal RNA. Lineage: Eukaryota; Metazoa; Chordata; Amphibia; Anura; Ranidae. The transcript has a single exon. The record is from RefSeq and is a predicted model, not a curated record.